CUACGGGAUGCUGCAGUGAGGAAUUUUGCGCAAUGGGGGAAACCCUGACGCAGCAACGCCGCGUGAGCGAAGAAGGCCUUCGGGUCGUAAAGCUCUGUCAAGUGGGAAAAAAAUCUUUUGAUCAAUAGUCAAAAGACUUGAUGGUACCACUGGAGGAAGCACCGGCUAACUCCGUGCCAGCAGCCGCAGGUAAUACGGAGGGGUACAAGCGUUGUUCGGAUUUACUGGGCGUAAAGAGCGUGUAGGCGGUUUAGCAAGUCAGAUGUGAAAGCCCUGGGCUCAACCCGGGAAGUGCAUUUGAAACUGCUUCACUAGAGUAUGGGAGAGGAGAUUGGAAUUCCUGGUGUAGAGGUGAAAUUCGUAGAUAUCAGGAGGAACACCCGUGGCGAAGGCGAUUCUCUGGACCAAUACUGACGCUGAGACGCGAAAGCGUGGGGAGCAAACAGGAUUAGAUACCCUGGUAGUC
Molecule: ribosomal RNA, 466 nt
Filed under: uncultured bacterium
Lineage: Bacteria
Description: partial 16S ribosomal RNA
Rfam family: Bacterial small subunit ribosomal RNA
Source: RNAcentral